AAGGGUGAAAUCGAUAAUGUUUAAUAUUAAUUGUUUUACUAAAUUUGAAGCUAAAUUUUUUGGGUUUGAACUAGGAUUAGAUACCCUAUUACACCAAAAGGUAAUAAUAAAGGAAGCCUGAUUAUUUAUAGUUAUUUUCUUGAAAAUUGAAGAAUUUGGCGGUGAUUUAGUCUUGUCAGAGGAAUUUGUUUUUUAAUCGAUAAACCACGCAGUAUCUUACUCAAGCUUAUAUACCGUCAUUAUCAGAUAAUCUUACAAAAAGGUAAUUAUUAAACUUUAUAAAUAGUGGAAAUUAGAUCAAGGUGUAGCUAAUAAAUGAGUUAAAAUGAAUUACAAUAAGUUUUAUUUAUAAACGGAUUUAUUAUAAUAAAGGUGGAUUUGAUUGUAAUAAGAGUUUAAUAAGCUUGAAAGAUAUAGGUUCUAAAUCAUGUACAUAUCGCCCGUCGCUUUC
This 451-nucleotide ribosomal RNA is filed under the name Galene bispinosa. RNAcentral's name for it is "partial 12S small subunit ribosomal RNA". Lineage: Eukaryota; Metazoa; Arthropoda; Malacostraca; Decapoda; Galenidae. The record is from RNAcentral.